Molecule: ribosomal RNA, 307 nt
Filed under: uncultured eukaryote
Lineage: Eukaryota
Description: partial 18S ribosomal RNA
Rfam family: Eukaryotic small subunit ribosomal RNA
Source: RNAcentral
CCCUUAGACGUUCUGGGCCGCACGCGCGCUACACUGACGAAGGCAACGAGCUUUCCUUUACCGAAAGGUACGGGUAAUCUUUUGAAACUUCGUCGUGCUGGGGAUAGAUCCUUGCAAUUUCUGAUCUUAAACGAGGAAUGCCUAGUAAGCGCAAGUCAUCAACUUGCGUUGAUUACGUCCCUGCCCUUUGUACACACCGCCCGUCGCUACUACCGAUUGAAUGGUUUAGUGAGGCCUUCGGAUCCGCGACUCGUUUGUGGAGAAGUUGGACAAACUCAGUCAUUUAGAGGAAGUAAAAGUCGUAACA